UCUGACUUAGUUUAAUAGAAAAUAUUACGUUGUGGGUGUAAAGAUAGACGGUGUUUAGUUAGAA
This 64-nucleotide transfer RNA is filed under the name Panopea globosa. Its description in RNAcentral is "tRNA-His". Lineage: Eukaryota; Metazoa; Mollusca; Bivalvia; Adapedonta; Hiatellidae. The record is from RNAcentral.